CUAACCCGGGGGCAUGGCUAGCUUGCUAGCCGUCCCUUGUGUUGCAAAGCUAUUUAAUCCACACGACUCUCGGCAACGGAUAUCUCGGCUCUCGCAUCGAUGAAGAACGUAGCGAAAUGCGAUACCUGGUGUGAAUUGCAGAAUCCCGCGAACCAUCGAGUCUUUGAACGCAAGUUGCGCCCGAGGCCACUCGGCCGAGGGCACGCCUGCCUGGGCGUCACGCCAAAACACGCUCCCAACCACCCUCAUCGGGAAUCGGGACGCGGCAUCUGGUCCCUCGUCUCGCAAGUGGCGGUGGAUCGAAGAUCGGGCUGCCGGUGUACCGCGCCGGACACAGCGCAUGGUGGGCGUCCUCGCUUUAUCAACGCAGUGCAUCCGACGCGCAGCCGACAU
RNAcentral lists this unclassified non-coding RNA (393 nucleotides) under Triticum aestivum (bread wheat). RNAcentral's name for it is "partial contains internal transcribed spacer 1, 5.8S ribosomal RNA, and internal transcribed spacer 2". The stretch from base 65 to 220 matches the Rfam family "5.8S ribosomal RNA". Lineage: Eukaryota; Viridiplantae; Streptophyta; Magnoliopsida; Poales; Poaceae. The record is from RNAcentral.